AGCGAACGCUGGCGGCGUGCCUAACACAUGCAAGUCGAACGUGAAAGGGGGCAACCCCUAGUAAAGUGGCGUACGGGUGAGUAACACGUAGGUAAUCUACCCCAAAAUUUGGAAUAACCUGCCGAAAGGCGGGCUAAUACUGGAUAGAGCGAUGGAAUCCGUAAUUGGGUUUUUCGGGAAAGGGAGCCUGUAAGGGCCCUCGUUUUGGGAUGAGCCUGCGUCUCAUUAGCUAGUUGGUGGGGUAACGGCCUACCAAGGCUUUGAUGGGUAGCUGGUCUGAGAGGAUGAUCAGCCACACUGGAACUGAAACACGGUCCAGACUCCUACGGGAGGCAG
RNAcentral lists this ribosomal RNA (336 nucleotides) under uncultured Pseudomonadota bacterium. Its description in RNAcentral is "bacterial SSU rRNA". It matches the Rfam family "Bacterial small subunit ribosomal RNA", at positions 29 to 351 of the family's 1533-position model. The record is from RNAcentral. Lineage: Bacteria; Pseudomonadati; Pseudomonadota.